AUUGAACGCUGGCGGCAUGCCUUACACAUGCAAGUCGAACGGCAGCAUAGAAGAGCUUGCUCUUCUGAUGGCGAGUGGCGAACGGGUGAGUAAAGCAUCGGAACGUACCGUGUAGUGGGGGAUAACGCAGCGAAAGCUGUGCUAAUACCGCAUACGCCCUGAGGGGAAAGCGGGGGAUCGAAAGACCUCGCGCGAUUAGAGCGGCCGAUGCCUGAUUAGCUUGUUGGUGGGGUAAAAGCCCACCAAGGCGACGAUCAGUAGCUGGUCUGAGAGGACGAUCAGCCACACUGGGACUGAGACACGGCCCAGACUCCUACGGGAGGCAGCAGGUGGGGAAUUUUGGACAAUGGGGGAAACCCUGAUCCAGCAAUGCCGCGUGAGUGAAGAAGGCCUUCGGGUUGUAAAGCUCUUUUGUCAGGGAAGAAACACCGGCUCUAACACAGUCCGGGAAUGACGGUACCUGAAGAAUAAGCACCGGCUAACUACGUG
RNAcentral lists this ribosomal RNA (489 nucleotides) under uncultured bacterium. RNAcentral describes it as "bacterial SSU rRNA". It matches the Rfam family "Bacterial small subunit ribosomal RNA", at positions 30 to 507 of the family's 1533-position model. The record is from RNAcentral.